CUUUGCCAUGACGCGUGUGCUGUGCACGCUAAACACGUGCCCUUUUUAAAACACUAGGCUUGUUACUUCAUGCGGCGCUGCAAGAACCGACAGCGAUGACGUCAAAGUACCGCGAGAACGAUUCGAGAACUCAUACGAAGUGUAAUUUCGUCUCGCUCUCGCGGCACUUUAACGUCAUCCGCCUGUCAGUUCUAGCGUGGCCGCAGGAAGUCGAACAGCCUUCUUUCUCAACACGGAUUACCAUGAGGCGGACUGACGAGUGACGACUACAACGAGCUCCUCUUUCACGGGUUUCUUUACUGUUUUCAGGAGUGACAAAAUAACCUCUAUAAAAGCUGAAGAUUUCAACAUUUUCUGAAGGGAGCUACAGACAGAGAUGUAAACUCAGAUUUUCCAGGCUAAUAUCCGUGCAGCAGAUUGAAGCAGACCUGUCAGAAAACAUCUCUAAGGUGCUAUGAAUCUCAUAACUAGCUGGAGCGGACCACAGGUGUCGUGAGUCACGCCUUUUCCUGGUUUCCACCUCGAGGAGGUCCCAAGAGCACCCCAAUGACCAGACACACAGAGAGCGCAAAUGUCGGAUAUUCUCCCUGCCAACGGUUAUCAAUCGCUGGAGGUCUCCCUCGGUGACACUUCUGGAUACACAUCAUAAGAUAACUAGAGCUUACGUCUCUGUUUGGAUCCAGCCUCACUUGUGAAGACUUCAGAUGGCGUAAACACUCAAAAAGACAUUGUAUGAUGGCAUCUAUAGAUGGACAUACACAACUGGCAAAUGUAAUAUAUUGUAAUUACUGCACCAAAGCACAACUCUGCAGAUUUUCAACUCACUUAAUAUUGUUACAAAUACAAUAGAUGUUUAUAUUUGAAAAACAUUUUUUUACUCUUUAUUUACUUUUUAAUUUUACUGAUUUAAUUCCAUUUAUUUGUCCACAAUACUCUGCCAAAAUGAUGUUUUGCAUCAUCCAAAUAUUGUUAAUUUACAUAUUACAGACAUUGUAACAACACAAAGUGGGUUGAAAUCCUGCUAACUUAUCCUAUAAUAAUAACUGUCUGUUAACUAAACAUGGCUUUAACACAUGACUUGUAUUAUAUUAGAGCUGUUGUGAUAUGAAUAUUGAUUUGUUUCCAGAAUAUGCUCCUCAGUGUGUCACACUCACCUCUGGCUGAUUAAGGGAUGUUUGUAAUCUUGAAACAUGCAUUUUCUAAAUAUGAAAUGUAUUGUGAAGAACAAUCUACCCUUUAAUGGUUUUACUUUGGUAAAACUGCAGAUCAUUUUUCAAACUAAGGUUUUGUUACCGUGGUUCUACUAUACUGCCCUACAAAGGCUAAGUGCAGUAACUAUGCAAACACUGAAACUGAAAAAAAUGCCCUUAAAGUUUUUUACACCAGCCAGUCAAACAUGUUACUGCAAUUUUGGCAAACACAUUUCUCUGAUGGGACAAAUUAUACCAGGAUACUUUGUCACAAGACACAACAGAUCUCACAAAAACCCAUUUCAACCUUUAACUCAAUUUUGACCAAAUGCAUAGUUACUGCGCUUUGGCUUUGUAGGGCAAUGUAGUAGUUUUAUAUUAAUGCUGGAGUGAAACCAUGGUAACCAUAUUUUUUUAAAUCAUGAUAAAGUUUGUGGUUACUAAAAUGUAGUAUGCUGUUGUAAGAGAAUGUUUAUUCUUUAUAAUUGUUGUAAAACCAUGGUUGAUUUUAUAUUUACCAUGUUUUACUGCAAAUGAUGGUAAAAUCAUGUAUAACUUUGCAUGGGUACAGAAAAGUGUAAACUGGUUGUUUUUAUUUGUAAGUCACGUUGGUUUUAAUGCAUCUGAUAAAUGUAUAUGCAUUUGGAUAUUUAUUCUGUUUACUGACAAUAAUAAAUUUGCAGUUGCUGAUGUAAAUGGUUGACCGUGGGCAGCUAGCAAACAUUACCGGUAUAAACCAGCGGACCUCUGCGGCUGCCGCUGGUGGUCCGCUGGAAAAACGAUGGGUAAAACUCCGGUGAGCCGCUGGCGGCAUCCGCCGGUGGACCGCCGCUGGCCUUAUGUUAGCUGGGGCAGCGGUCCGACAGCGGACCUCUGACUUCUGCGGCUGCCGCUGGUGGUCCGCUGGAAAAACGAUGGGCAAAGCUCCGGUGAGCCGCUGGCGGCAUCCGCCGGUGGACCGCCGCUGGUCCGCUGGCCUUAUGUUAGCUGGGGCAGCGGUCCGACAGCGGACCUCCGUCGAAAAAGUAGCGGCUGCCGCUGGUGGUCCGCUGGAAAAACGAUGGGCAAAACUCCGGCGAGCCGCUGGCGGCAGCCGCCGGUGGACCGCCAACUUUGCCGCCGGUGGUCCGCCGUUGGACCGCUGGCCUUAUGUUUG
Molecule: non-coding RNA, 2346 nt
Organism: Paramisgurnus dabryanus
Lineage: Eukaryota; Metazoa; Chordata; Actinopteri; Cypriniformes; Cobitidae
Source: RefSeq, a predicted model, not a curated record